Molecule: ribosomal RNA, 427 nt
Filed under: uncultured bacterium
Lineage: Bacteria
Description: partial 16S ribosomal RNA
Rfam family: Bacterial small subunit ribosomal RNA
Source: RNAcentral
UGGGGAAUAUUGGACAAUGGGCGAAAGCCUGAUCCAGCCAUGCCGCGUGUGUGAAGAAGGUAUUCGGAUUGUAAAGCACUUUAAGUUGGGAGGAAGGGCAUUAACCUAAUACGUUAGUGUUUUGACGUUACCGACAGAAUAAGCACCGGAUAACUCUGUGCCAGCAGCCGCGGUAAUACAGAGGGUGCAAGCGUUAAUCGGAAUUACUGGGCGUAAAGCGCGCGUAGGUGGUUUGUUAAGUUGGAUGUGAAAUCCCCGGGCUCAACCUGGGAACUGCAUUCAAAACUGACUGACUAGAGUAUGGUAGAGGGUGGUGGAAUUUCCUGUGUAGCGGUGAAAUGCGUAGAUAUAGGAAGGAACACCAGUGGCGAAGGCGACCACCUGGACUAAUACUGACACUGAGGUGCGAAAGCGUGGGGAGCAAACA